Molecule: non-coding RNA, 45 nt
Organism: Schistosoma curassoni
Lineage: Eukaryota; Metazoa; Platyhelminthes; Trematoda; Strigeidida; Schistosomatidae
Source: Rfam
AUUCGUCUGACGAGUCCUAAAUAGGACGAAACGUGCGUCCUGUAC